UACGGAGGGUGCGAGCGUUGUCCGGAAUUAUUGGGCGUAAAGAGCUUGUAGGCGGUUUGUCGCGUCUGCUGUGAAAAUCCGGGGCUCAACCCCGGACUUGCAGUGGGUACGGGCAGACUAGAGUGUGGUAGGGGAGACUGGAAUUCCUGGUGUAGCGGUGAAAUGCGCAGAUAUCAGGAGGAACACCGAUGGCGAAGGCAGGUCUCUGGGCCACUACUGACGCUGAGAAGCGAAAGCAUGGGGAGCGAACAGGAUUAGAUA
Molecule: ribosomal RNA, 261 nt
Filed under: uncultured prokaryote
Description: partial 16S ribosomal RNA
Rfam family: Bacterial small subunit ribosomal RNA
Source: RNAcentral